Long non-coding RNA from Euleptes europaea (tarantolino), 258 nucleotides. RefSeq lists it as uncharacterized. Lineage: Eukaryota; Metazoa; Chordata; Lepidosauria; Squamata; Sphaerodactylidae. The transcript is spliced from 2 exons. The record is from RefSeq and is a predicted model, not a curated record.
GAGCCCCCUUAUUCCUCGCGUUUGUUUACCAAUGAACGAACGCGUGUCUACGGCAGAGUGGGGGGAAAAUAAAGGAAGCCAACGCGUAAAUAGAAGCAAAGUCAAAUUCAAAUUAAAAGCCACAGACGGCCAAGAAAUUUCCAGCGCAUUCGAUGUUGUACCCCUAUCCCUGAAGACAUGACAAAGAGUGUUUCAAAUGUGUAAAGCUGGUGAAGAUUUUUAUUUUUAAAAAAUAAAGCACGGGUGGUGUGUACUGGC